GAUGAACGCUGGCGGUGUGCCUAACACAUGCAAGUCGAGCGAACAGACGAGGAGCUUGCUCCUUUGACGUUAGCGGCUGACGGGCGAGUAACGCGUGGAUAACCUUCUUAUUAUUCGUGGGUGACAUCGUGGAAACGCUGACACUACUAGCUCAUACGUUCUACGGCUUGGUGCAGUAGAGCAUGACGCCUUUGCCGAUACUUAUAGCCGAUUCCGCGUCGGAUUAGCUAGUUGGUAAGGUAACGGCCUACCAAGGCGACGAUGCGUAGCCGACCUGAGAGGAUGAUCAGCCACACUGGAACUGAGACACGGUCCAGACUCCUACGGGAGGCAGCAGUGGGGAAUAUUCGACAAUGGGCGAAAGCCUGAUGCAGCAACACCGCGUGGGUGAUGAAGGUCUUCGGGUCGUAAAGCUCUGUUAUUAGGAAAGAAAAGAAGCAGGUGAAUCCACCGACGUCUUGACGGUACCCAAACAGUAAGCACCGGCUAACUUCGUG
This 497-nucleotide ribosomal RNA is filed under the name uncultured bacterium. RNAcentral's name for it is "partial 16S ribosomal RNA". It matches the Rfam family "Bacterial small subunit ribosomal RNA", at positions 28 to 507 of the family's 1533-position model. The record is from RNAcentral.